AGUUGCCAUCAGGUAAUGCUGGGCACGUCUAAGGAUACGUGCCGGUGACAACCGGAGGAAGUGGGAUGACGUCAAAUCAUCAUGCCCUUUAUGACCUGGGCUACACACGUGCUACAAUGGCCUAUACAAAGGGUUGCGAAGCUGUGAAGUGGAGCCCAAUCCCAAAAAGUAGGUCUCAGUUCGGAUUGUAGGCUGCAACUCGCCUACAUGAAGUCGGAAUCGCUAGUAAUCGCGGAUCAGCAUGCCGCGGUGAAUACGUUCCCGGGCCUU
This 270-nucleotide ribosomal RNA is filed under the name uncultured Peptococcaceae bacterium. RNAcentral describes it as "partial 16S ribosomal RNA". It matches the Rfam family "Bacterial small subunit ribosomal RNA", at positions 1113 to 1382 of the family's 1533-position model. Lineage: Bacteria; Bacillati; Bacillota; Clostridia; Eubacteriales; Peptococcaceae. The record is from RNAcentral.